RNAcentral lists this unclassified non-coding RNA (291 nucleotides) under Chytridiomycota sp. RNAcentral's name for it is "partial contains small subunit ribosomal RNA, internal transcribed spacer 1, and 5.8S ribosomal RNA". The stretch from base 1 to 47 matches the Rfam family "Eukaryotic small subunit ribosomal RNA", at positions 1785 to 1831 of the family's 1831-position model. The record is from RNAcentral. Lineage: Eukaryota; Fungi; Chytridiomycota.
AAAGUCGUAACAAGGUAACCGUAGGUGAACCUGCGGUUGGAUCAUUAAAAAAUAACUUUCGAUCGGGAUUCAAAUCCCGAGAGAAAUCAACACCGUGUGCACCAUAUUUUGUCUUUGCCUCAUUUCCGUUGGACGCUUUGCGCGUCUAGUUGUGACUCGUAAAAACAGUCACGUCGGGGUGAGGCAACAGUGUAAAACCACUCUAUAAACAUUUGUCGUUCAUAUAAAAGCUAUUAAUUAUUUCACUUGUGAAGUAAAAAACAACUUUUGACAACGGAUCUCUUGGCUCUC